AUUGAACGCUGGCGGCAGGCCUAACACAUGCAAGUCGAGCGGAUGAAGGGAGCUUGCUCCUGGAUUCAGCGGCGGACGGGUGAGUAAUGCCUGGGAAUCUGCCUGGUAGUGGGGGAUAACGCCCGGAAACGGGCGCUAAUACCGCAUACGUCCUGAGGGAGAAAGUGGGGGAUCUUCGGACCUCACGCUAUCAGAUGAGCCUAGGUCGGAUUAGCUAGUUGGUGGGGUAAAGGCCUACCAAGGCGACGAUCCGUAACUGGUCUGAGAGGAUGAUCAGUCACACUGGAACUGAGACACGGUCCAGACUCCUACGGGAGGCAGCAGUGGGGAAUAUUGGACAAUGGGCGAAAGCCUGAUCCAGCCAUGCCGCGUGUGUGAAGAAGGUCUUCGGAUUGUAAAGCACUUUAAGUUGGGAGGAAGGGCAGUAAGUUAAUACCUUGCUGUUUUGACGUUACCAACAGAAUAAGCACCGGCUAACUUCGUG
Molecule: ribosomal RNA, 484 nt
Filed under: uncultured bacterium
Lineage: Bacteria
Description: partial 16S ribosomal RNA
Rfam family: Bacterial small subunit ribosomal RNA
Source: RNAcentral